GAUGAAGAACGCAGCGAAAUGCGAUAAGUAGUGUGAAUUGCAGAAUUCAGUGAAUCAUCGAAUCUUUGAACGCACAUUGCGCCCCUUGGUAUUCCAUGGGGCAUGCCUGUUCGAGCGUCAUUUGUACCUUCAAGCUUUGCUUGGUGUUGGGUGUUUGUCCAUUCUCUUGCAGAGGGACUCGCCUUAAAGUAAUUGGCAGCCAGUGUUUUGGUUUUGAAGCGCAGCACAAGUCGCGAUUCACAGCUAUACGCCCGCUUCCACAAGCCUUUUUCACUUUUGACCUCGGAUCAGGUAGGGAUACCCGCUGAACUUAAGCAUAUCAAUAAGCGGAGGA
This 334-nucleotide unclassified non-coding RNA is filed under the name soil metagenome. RNAcentral describes it as "partial contains 5.8S ribosomal RNA, internal transcribed spacer 2, and large subunit ribosomal RNA". The stretch from base 1 to 120 matches the Rfam family "5.8S ribosomal RNA", at positions 35 to 154 of the family's 154-position model. The record is from RNAcentral.